UACGGAGGGGGCUAGUGUUGUCCGAAGUUACUGGGCGUAAAGCGCGCGUAGGCGGGUUGGUAAGUCCGCUGUGAAAGCCCGGAGCUCAACUCCGGAGGGUCGGUGGAUACCGCCAGUCUUGAAGGUGCUAGGGGGAGAUGGAAUUACCGGUGUAGCGGUGAAAUGCGUAGAUAUCUGGAGGAACACCGGUGGCGAAGGCGGCAUCCUGGACCGGUAUUGACGCUGAGGCGCGAAAGCCAGGGGAGCAAACGGG
Molecule: ribosomal RNA, 253 nt
Filed under: uncultured bacterium
Lineage: Bacteria
Description: partial 16S ribosomal RNA
Rfam family: Bacterial small subunit ribosomal RNA
Source: RNAcentral